This 346-nucleotide ribosomal RNA is filed under the name uncultured bacterium. RNAcentral's name for it is "partial 16S ribosomal RNA". It matches the Rfam family "Bacterial small subunit ribosomal RNA", at positions 338 to 681 of the family's 1533-position model. The record is from RNAcentral.
CCUACGGGUGGCAGCAGUGAGGAAUAUUGGUCAAUGGGCGCGAGCCUGAACCAGCCAAGUAGCGUGAAGGAUGACGGCCCUACGGGUUGUAAACUGCUUUUAUAAAGGAAUAAAGUGAGGCACGUGUGCCGUUUUGUAUGGACGUUAUGAAUAAGGAUAGGCUAACUCCGUGCCAGCAGCCGCGGUAAUACGGAGGAUCCGAGCGUUAUGCGGAUUUAUUGGGUUUAAAGGGAGCGUAGAGGGGUUGUUAAGUCAGUUGUGAAAGGUUGCGGCUCAACCGUAAAAUUGCAAGUGUUACUGGCAGUCUUGCGUACAGUUGCGGUAGGCGGAAUUCGUGGUGUAGCGG